UCAUUAAUACUGUUGAAUACUGUAAAUUCUCAUGUCUUCGAGGAAAAAAAUCUCAACAGUAAGCUUCUGUAAAAUCUUACAGUAUAAUACAGUAUUUAUUUUCAUUUUACAGCAAGCUACCGUAUGAUCUUACGGUAUGAUACAGUAUUUUUUAAAAUCAGACUUGAAGCCCCACCCACUGUUGUUUUCUCCCGGUUCUCUCGUCCACUGCGCAGCAUACCCUCAUCCAUCCUGAUCCUGUGGCUUUCUUAAGAAGGCACUUCGUGGGAAUUAACCCUGAGAGGGGAAGAAAGACCAGCCAGGGGAAGGUGGUGUCAAAGAGACAGGGAAGCUGGUCCACAGAAAGACAACAGUCACUCCCCAGGUCUCACUCUCAUAAAAAAUGUGAUGGACUUAGAGUGGGGCUUUAUGUAGCCAAUAUAGUUCAGAUCAAACUGUCAAAUGCCCAAGUUCAUUUUUGGACUAUAUGAUAUGUUUAGUAGUUGAUGUUAAUGGAAUGUGUGAAAUAAAGUUAGCGUUUACUCAG
Molecule: long non-coding RNA, 526 nt
Organism: Scatophagus argus
Lineage: Eukaryota; Metazoa; Chordata; Actinopteri; Scatophagidae
Exons: 2
Source: RefSeq, a predicted model, not a curated record